UUUUUUUUUUCCUUUUUUCUUUUCUUCUUUUUUUUUGAGAUUGGCAAGAUUGAGGGUCUCUGAAGUUUGAUUUUUGGACGUUUCCAUGAAGAUUAUAAGUUCACUAGAUUAAUGGUUUCUGCAUUUGUCAAUGAGUAUUUGAUUUCUGAAACUUCUGCUGUGGGGUUGGGGAUUCAGGAGACAAUAGAAUCAAGUUUAGCUUUUGGUAGAGCUAUUGAUGCUUUUUUGAGGACUAGUUUGAUUUGUGGGUUACUGAGUCGUGAAUAUGUGAGUAAUGGUAUCAAA
This 285-nucleotide unclassified non-coding RNA is filed under the name Hevea brasiliensis (rubber tree). The record is from RNAcentral. Lineage: Eukaryota; Viridiplantae; Streptophyta; Magnoliopsida; Malpighiales; Euphorbiaceae.